GCUAACCAGAUCCAAUUUAGACGCCUAUAAAUACAAAGACUUCAUUAUUUCUCUCUCAUCUUUCUCGUCAACCUAUAAAAGUAUCAUCUUUUCAAAUUCCUCGCGCUCUAUUUUUCACAUACACAAACCCUAAUUCUUCUCUCCAAAAAUCAAGGGUAGAUGGCUGAUCAAGUAUUGGAAGGGAGCCAACCUGUAGAUCUAAAGAAGCAUCCUUCUGGGAUUGUGCCUACAAUUCGAAAUAUUGUUUCAACGGUCAAUUUGGACACUAAGUUGGAUCUCAAAGCAUUUGCUCUCCAAGCUCGUAACGCAGAGUACAAUCCCAAG
Long non-coding RNA from Trifolium pratense (red clover), 324 nucleotides. RefSeq lists it as uncharacterized. Lineage: Eukaryota; Viridiplantae; Streptophyta; Magnoliopsida; Fabales; Fabaceae. The record is from RefSeq and is a predicted model, not a curated record. The transcript has 3 exons.